AGUGAACGCUGGCGGUAGGCCUAACACAUGCAAGUCGAACGGCAGCACAGUAAGAGCUUGCUCUUACGGGUGGCGAGUGGCGGACGGGUGAGGAAUACAUCGGAAUCUACUUUUUCGUGGGGGAUAACGUAGGGAAACUUACGCUAAUACCGCAUACGACCUACGGGUGAAAGCAGGGGAUCUUCGGACCUUGCGCGAUUGAAUGAGCCGAUGUCGGAUUAGCUAGUUGGCGGGGUAAAGGCCCACCAAGGCGACGAUCCGUAGCUGGUCCGAGAGGAUGAUCGGCAACACUGGAACUGAGACAGGGUCCAGACUCCUACGGGAGGCAGCAGAGGGGAAUAUUGGACAAUGGGCGCAAGCCUGAUCCAGCCAGACCGCGUGGGUGAAGAAGGCCUUCGGGUUGUAAAGCCCUUUUGUUGGGAAAGAAAAGCAGCAGGUUAAUACCCCGCUGUUCUGACGGUACCCAAAGAAUAAGCACCGGCUAACUUCGUG
RNAcentral lists this ribosomal RNA (492 nucleotides) under uncultured bacterium. RNAcentral's name for it is "partial 16S ribosomal RNA". It matches the Rfam family "Bacterial small subunit ribosomal RNA", at positions 29 to 507 of the family's 1533-position model. The record is from RNAcentral.